UUCUGAUCCAGCAGGUUCUGGAUGGGGGCUCAGCCCACAGCUUUACCUUCCAUCACGUUCUUGUUGUUGCUCUUGUUGUUAUGGUUCUUGUUGCUGCAGAUCCCAUCGAGGCUGAUGAAGUUGUAGCUCUGGUUUUCUCCACAGUGGGAAAUGUUCAGUCUUUUUACACAAGGUUUCGUUUUCUCACUGUGGCAGAAGACAGAAAUGUAGCCAAAAAAAAUCCAAGGCGUCGCUCCAGUGACUUACUUUGGGCCUCAGAAGGGAAACUGUUAUAAUUUGGUUAAAAUGACGGCUUCAAUCAGUUCAUGUCAAUCAGACACCACAGGAGUGUUUGGAUUGGACUUGACUAGAAAUCGGACAAAAUAGUGAAAGGUUUCUUUAAUCAAAUC
Long non-coding RNA from Silurus meridionalis, 389 nucleotides. RefSeq lists it as uncharacterized. The record is from RefSeq and is a predicted model, not a curated record. The transcript is spliced from 3 exons. Lineage: Eukaryota; Metazoa; Chordata; Actinopteri; Siluriformes; Siluridae.